This is a long non-coding RNA of Oncorhynchus nerka (sockeye salmon), 1021 nucleotides long. RefSeq lists it as uncharacterized. The record is from RefSeq and is a predicted model, not a curated record. The transcript has 2 exons. Lineage: Eukaryota; Metazoa; Chordata; Actinopteri; Salmoniformes; Salmonidae.
GUCCUUCAUGACAACAGAACUUCAACAAUGACUUUUACCAUGAGCUUUUUGUGGAUAUUGAUGUUCUUCAUUCAGGAAUCCAGGGGACAGUACACUCAGACUCCAAAAGUGAAAGCUGUUCUCCCAGAAAAUACAGUUAUUAUAAACUGUAAAACCAGUGUGACUGUAUCUAAUGAUUGUUUUGGUGAUUACAUCUGUAUGGCCUGGUACAAACAGAAACCUGGAGGAGCUCCUAAACUCCUGAUGCACUCUUCAAACCAACGUCUGUCUGAGAUUCCAUCUAAGUUCAGUGGCAGUGGAUCUCAUAGUGACUUUACUCUGACCAUCAGUGGAAUCCAGGCUGAAGAUGCAGGAGAUUACUACUGUCAGAGUUACCACAGUGGUCCAGUGUUCAAACAGUGAUACAGAGCUGUACUAAAACCUCCCUCAGUCAGACUGCACAGUGACUGUACUGAUACAGCUGGGACCUACUGCAGGUGCUGAGGGGGAAGAGACCGUGACAUGGAACACUGAUCAGUAGUGAAGUCAACUUUGAAUAAGUUUAGAAAGCAUCAUUCAGAACAUGUUCUCCAUCGUCAUUGUUACAAACCCCCUUUUCUGGUUAUCCCCUUUUCCCACCAACAAUAAUACAUCACAGUAGUACAUACUCACAUGAUAACAGACAAUAUUUAUCCACACAGUCUAGGGGGGGGGGACAAGACCCGUAACAUACAGUGGGGCAAAAAAGUAUUUAGUCAGCCACCAAUUGUGCAAGUUCUCCCACUUAAAAAGAUGAGCGAGGCCUGUAAUUUUCAUCAUAGGUACACUUCAACUAUGACAGACAAAAUGAGGAAAAAAAUCCUGAAAAUCACAUUGUAGGAUUUUUAAUGAAUUUAUUUGCAAAUUAUGGUGGAAAAUAAGUAUUUAAGUAUACUGUAGAUAUAACUUUUCCCCAAAAGUAUUUUAUUAUUUGCAUAUACUCAGUUAUGGGAAAAGUACCUAAUUGUCAUACUUGAGUAAAAGUAAAGAUACCUCAAUAGAA